This 253-nucleotide ribosomal RNA is filed under the name uncultured bacterium. Its description in RNAcentral is "partial 16S ribosomal RNA". It matches the Rfam family "Bacterial small subunit ribosomal RNA", at positions 524 to 776 of the family's 1533-position model. The record is from RNAcentral.
UACGUAGGGCGCAAGCGUUGUCCGGAUUUAUUGGGCGUAAAGAGCGUGUAGGCGGCCAUGCAGGUCAGCUGUGAAAACUCGAGGCUCAACCUCGAGACGUCGGUUGAAACCGUAUGGCUAGAGUCCGGAAGAGGAGAGUGGAAUUCCCGGUGUAGCGGUGAAAUGCGCAGAUAUCGGGAAGAACACCCGUGGCGAAGGCGGCUCUCUGGGACGGUACUGACGCUGAGACGCGAAAGCGUGGGGAGCGAACAGG